GAUGAACGCUGGCGGCGUGCCUAAUACAUGCAAGUCGAGCGAACGGACGAGAAGCUUGCUUCUCUGAUGUUAGCGGCGGACGGGUGAGUAACACGUGGAUAACCUACCUAUAAGACUGGGAUAACUUCGGGAAACCGGAGCUAAUACCGGAUAAUAUUUUGAACCGCAUGGUUCAAAAAUGAAAGACGGUCUUGCUGUCACUUAUAGAUGGAUCCGCGCUGCAUUAGCUAGUUGGUAAGGUAACGGCUUACCAAGGCAACGAUGCAUAGCCGACCUGAGAGGGUGAUCGGCCACACUGGAACUGAGACACGGUCCAGACUCCUACGGGAGGCAGCAGUAGGGAAUCUUCCGCAAUGGGCGAAAGCCUGACGGAGCAACGCCGCGUGAGUGAUGAAGGUCUUCGGAUCGUAAAACUCUGUUAUUAGGGAAGAACAUAUGUGUAAGUAACUGUGCACAUCUUGACGGUACCUAAUCAGAAAGCCACGGCUAACUACGUG
This 497-nucleotide ribosomal RNA is filed under the name uncultured bacterium. RNAcentral describes it as "partial 16S ribosomal RNA". It matches the Rfam family "Bacterial small subunit ribosomal RNA", at positions 28 to 507 of the family's 1533-position model. The record is from RNAcentral.